This 91-nucleotide transfer RNA is filed under the name Candidatus Brocadiaceae bacterium. RNAcentral describes it as "tRNA-Leu". It matches the Rfam family "tRNA". From Rfam's summary of the family: Transfer RNA (tRNA) molecules are approximately 80 nucleotides in length. Their secondary structure includes four short double-helical elements and three loops (D, anti-codon, and T loops). Lineage: Bacteria; Pseudomonadati; Planctomycetota; Candidatus Brocadiia; Candidatus Brocadiales; Candidatus Brocadiaceae. The record is from RNAcentral.
GGGCGAGUGGCGGAAUCGGCAGACGCUCUGGACUUAAAAUCCAGUGGCCCGCCCGCGGGCCGUGAGGGUUCGAUCCCCUCCUCGCCCACCA